RNAcentral lists this ribosomal RNA (498 nucleotides) under uncultured bacterium. RNAcentral's name for it is "bacterial SSU rRNA". It matches the Rfam family "Bacterial small subunit ribosomal RNA", at positions 17 to 518 of the family's 1533-position model. The record is from RNAcentral.
UCCUGGCUCAGGAUGAACGCUGGCGGCGUGCUUAACACAUGCAAGUCGAGCGAAGCACUGGUCAGAUUCUCGGAUGAAGAACCUUGACUGAGCGGCGGACGGGUGAGUAACGCGUGGGGAACCUGCCCCAUACCGGGGGAUAACAGCUGGAAACAGCUGCUAAUACCGCAUAAGCGCACGAAGAGGCAUCUCUUUGAGUGAAAAAACUCCGGUGGUAUGGGAUGGACCCGCGUCGGAUUAGCCAGUUGGCGGGGUAACGGCCCACCAAAGCGACGAUCCGUAGCCGGCCUGAGAGGGCGACCGGCCACAUUGGGACUGAGACACGGCCCAAACUCCUACGGGAGGCAGCAGUGGGGAAUAUUGCACAAUGGGGGAAACCCUGAUGCCAGCGACGCCGCGUGAGUGACGAAGUAUUUCGGUAUGUAAAGCUCUAUCAGCAGGGAAGAAGACGACGGUACCUGACUAAGAAGCCCCGGCUAACUACGUGCCAGCCGCCGC